ACGGAGGGGGCCAGCGUUGUUCGGAAUUAUUGGGCGUAAAGGGCGCGUAGGCGGUCGAGUAAGUCUGACGUGAAAUCCCUUGGCUCAACCAAGGAAUUGCGUCUUAAACUGCUCGGCUUGAGUCCGGGAGAGGGUAGUGGAAUUCCCAGUGUAGCGGUGAAAUGCGUAGAUAUUGGGAGGAACACCGGUGGCGAAGGCGGCAUCCUGGACCGGCAUUGACGCUGAGGCGCGAAAGCCAGGGGAGCAAACGGGA
RNAcentral lists this ribosomal RNA (253 nucleotides) under uncultured prokaryote. RNAcentral describes it as "partial 16S ribosomal RNA". It matches the Rfam family "Bacterial small subunit ribosomal RNA", at positions 525 to 777 of the family's 1533-position model. The record is from RNAcentral.